ACGAAGGGGGCUAGCGUUGUUCGGAAUUACUGGGCGUAAAGCGCGCGCAGGCGGCUAUCCAAGUCAGUGGUGAAAGCCCGGAGCUCAACUCCGGAACUGCCAUUGAAACUGUUUAGCUUGAGGAUGAGAGAGGUGAGUGGAAUUCCCAGUGUAGAGGUGAAAUUCGUAGAUAUUGGGAAGAACACCGGUGGCGAAGGCGGCUCACUGGACUGGUAUUGACGCUGAGGUGCGAAAGCGUGGGGAGCAAACAGGA
Molecule: ribosomal RNA, 253 nt
Filed under: uncultured prokaryote
Description: partial 16S ribosomal RNA
Rfam family: Bacterial small subunit ribosomal RNA
Source: RNAcentral